This 829-nucleotide ribosomal RNA is filed under the name uncultured bacterium. RNAcentral's name for it is "bacterial SSU rRNA". It matches the Rfam family "Bacterial small subunit ribosomal RNA", at positions 62 to 926 of the family's 1533-position model. The record is from RNAcentral.
UCGACGCAUUCUUCGGAAUGAGUGGCGCACGGCUGAGGAACACGUGACUAACCUACCCCGGUGUGGGGGAUAACGGGUCGAAAGACUCGCUAAUCCCGCAUACGAACCGCCUCGGCGGAGGAAAGCCGUAAGGCGCACCGGGCGGGGGUCGCGUCCCAUUAGAUAGUUGGUGUGGUAAUGGCGCACCAAGUCGAUGAUGGGUCUCUGGUCUGAGAGGACGACCAGACAGAUUGGGACUGAGACACGGCCCAAACUCCUACGGGGGGCAGCAGCAAGGAAUUUUCGGCAAUGGGCGCAAGCCUGACCGAGCAACGCCGCGUGGAGGAUGACGGCUCUUGGGUUGUAAACUCCUUUUGGGGGGGACGAUAAUGACGGUACCCUCCGAAUCAGGCCCGGCUAACUACGUGCCAGCAGCCGCGGUAAUACGUAGGGGCCAAGCGUUGUCCGGAAUUACUGGGCGUAAAGCGUGGGUAGGUGGUCGGUGAUGUGCCGCGUGAAAGCGCCGGAGUAAUGCCGGCGAGGUCGCGGUAGACACACGGACUCGAGGCUCGCAGAGGAACGUGGAAUUCCCGGUGUAGUGGUGAAAUGCGUAGAUAUCGGGAGGAACACCAGUGGCGCAAGCGGCGUUCUGGGCGAGACCUGACACUGAGCCACGACGGCGUGGGGAGCAAACAGGAUUAGAUACCCUGGUAGUCCACGCAGUAAACGAUGCAUACCAGGUGUGGGAUGGCGUUCGCGUCGUUCCGUGCCGCAGCUUACGCGAUGAGUAUGCCGCCUGGGGACUACGAGCGCAAGCUUAAAACUCAAAGGAAUUGACGGGGGCCCGCAC